GGUGGCUCAGUGGUAGAGUGCUUGCUUUGCAUGCAUGAGGUCCUGGGUUUGAUUCCUCAGUACCA
Molecule: transfer RNA, 65 nt
Filed under: Dipodomys ordii (Ord's kangaroo rat)
Lineage: Eukaryota; Metazoa; Chordata; Mammalia; Rodentia; Heteromyidae
Rfam family: tRNA
About the family: Transfer RNA (tRNA) molecules are approximately 80 nucleotides in length. Their secondary structure includes four short double-helical elements and three loops (D, anti-codon, and T loops).
Source: Rfam by way of RNAcentral